This 450-nucleotide ribosomal RNA is filed under the name Triticum aestivum (bread wheat). Its description in RNAcentral is "partial small subunit ribosomal RNA". The record is from RNAcentral. Lineage: Eukaryota; Viridiplantae; Streptophyta; Magnoliopsida; Poales; Poaceae.
AUGGCGUACGGCGGCGGCAGGAGGGGCUCGUCCAGGUGGGGCCUUCCGAUGGUGAGGUCGGACGCGCUCGGCAAGCUGGGCCCCUCCUUCGGCAUCGGCGCCGGCUGCGGCGUCGGCGUCGGGGUCGGCCUCAUCGGCGCUUUUGGAGUGGGAAGACUGCAGGGUUCAGGUAACUCAGGCGCAGGAAUUGGAGCUGGAUUCCCUGGGUUACAGCUGGGAUUCGGAGCUGGUGCUGGAUGUGGAAUAGGAAUAGGUUUCGGCUAUGGCUUUGGAAAGGGAAUUGCAUAUGACGAGAAUGGGAAAUAUUCAAACAUCAGGAGAUCAUUUCAGAACACCAGGAGCCUCCCUUAUGACCAGGAGUUUGACAUCCUGUUUGACGAGGUGAUGGAGAGCACCAGGAGGCUGAUCAAAGCGACGACAAAGGAGCUCGACAAGUGGAGGCGCAUGUAG